RNAcentral lists this ribosomal RNA (197 nucleotides) under uncultured bacterium. RNAcentral describes it as "partial 16S ribosomal RNA". It matches the Rfam family "Bacterial small subunit ribosomal RNA", at positions 328 to 539 of the family's 1533-position model. The record is from RNAcentral.
ACGCUCGACACCUACGGGAGGCAGCAGUGAGGGAUAUUGGUCAAUGGGGGAAACCCUGAACCAGCAACGCCGCGUGAGGGAUGACGGUCUUCGGAUUGUAAACCUCUGUCCUCUGUGAAGAUAAUGACGGUAGCAGAGGAGGAAGCUCCGGCUAACUACGUGUCAGCAGCCGCGGUAAUCUGAGCGGCUGGCAAGGC